This 369-nucleotide long non-coding RNA is filed under the name Homo sapiens (human). RNAcentral describes it as "HSALNT0344911". Lineage: Eukaryota; Metazoa; Chordata; Mammalia; Primates; Hominidae. The record is from RNAcentral.
AAAGGGCAUAUACGGUCAAUGCCAUACCCAGUAAAGUCGCCAUUCCCCAUUUUACAGCUGGGGAAACUGAGUUACAGAGCUUUUCUGCACUGAGUCAUCAGGAGCAAAUGCUAGAUCAGAUAGAGUCUCUCUCUCUGCCACCCAGGCCAGAGUGCAGUUGACGCAGGGCAGGGGAGCCCCGAAGUGGAGCAUAGUGUGUCCGGAACUGGUGGGUUCUUGGUCUCCCUGACUUCAAGAAUGAAGCCACGGACCCUCGGGCUUCAAGCGAUUCUCCUGCCUCAGCCUCCAGAGUAGCUGGAACUACAGAUGUGCACCACCACGCCCAGCUAAUUUUUGUAUUUUUAGUAGAGAUGGGGUUUCACCAUGUUG